RNAcentral lists this ribosomal RNA (469 nucleotides) under uncultured bacterium. RNAcentral describes it as "bacterial SSU rRNA". It matches the Rfam family "Bacterial small subunit ribosomal RNA", at positions 27 to 507 of the family's 1533-position model. The record is from RNAcentral.
CGGACGAACGCUGGCGGCGUGCCUAACACAUGCAAGUCGAACGGAGAAGUUGAUUUCGGUUGACUUCUUAGUGGCGAACGGGUGAGUAACGCGUGAACAACCUGAACCUCAAGAGGGGGAUACCAACGAGAAAUCGUUGUUAAUACCGCAUAAGACCACAGCGCCGCAUGGCAAAGGGGUCAAAGGAGCAAUCCGCUUGAGGAGGGGUUCGCGUCCCAUUAGGUAGUAGGCGGGGUAACGGCCACCUAGCCAGCGAUGGGUAGCCGAGCUGAGAGGCUGAACGGCCACACUGGAACUGAGACACGGUCCAGACUCCUACGGGAGGCAGCAGUGGGGAAUAUUGGGCAAUGGGCGCAAGCCUGACCCAGCAACGCCGCGUGAGGGAAGAAGGUUUUCGGAUUGUAAACCUCUGUCGCAGAUGACGAAGGAAGUGACGGUAAUCUGUGAGGAAGCCCCGGCUAACUACGUG